Molecule: transfer RNA, 68 nt
Filed under: Fannia sociella
Lineage: Eukaryota; Metazoa; Arthropoda; Insecta; Diptera; Fanniidae
Description: tRNA-Ala
Source: RNAcentral
AGGACUGUAGUUAAAUUAACAUUUGAUUUGCAUUCAAAAAAUAUUAAUUAUCUAAAUUAAUCUGUCUU